AUGUCCUCCUACGUCACAAAGAGCCACCUCUUUGGUGCAAAACGAGCUUCGCAUCAAGAGCAACAAGCAAUGAACGAACGCAUCGACAACCUCGCCACCGACUUGCGACUCUCCAAGCAACGUACAAGAGAUUACUUCAAUAACAAGCUCGACGACCACAAACAAGAGAAUGACGCAAGAAUGGAAGAGAUUCGUGCCUUGUUGCUCAACCGCAAUUCUACCACUUCGUCUUACUCAAGACAGAGCCGCUCGAGUCGACACUCCGAUGACACAAUCUCUAGCUCAAGUACUCCGAUAUCAAACACUCUUCGACGAGCCGCGCGCCAAGACCAUCAAGCAAACCGCAAUCCUCUACACGACAAUGACUCUCAAGAGCAAGUUUGCGCGCAAGAACAACAACACCGUCAAAACCAAGCUACUUUUGUGCAAGCACAAGAACGACAAUGCCAACAUCAACAAGAGGAGGAAGAGCGAGUGCGACAACACCAAGAUGCACAACAUGCCGAGGCACAACGCCAAGAACAACAACGGCGACAAGCUCAAGCACUUGAGGCGCAAUGUGCCCUCCGAGAUUCAAGUCGAGUCGUAGCCACGCGCAACCGGCAAGCUCAUGAGCAACAAGAAGCGCUUCACGAUGAAGUUUAA
This 645-nucleotide ribosomal RNA is filed under the name Triticum aestivum (bread wheat). RNAcentral's name for it is "partial small subunit ribosomal RNA". Lineage: Eukaryota; Viridiplantae; Streptophyta; Magnoliopsida; Poales; Poaceae. The record is from RNAcentral.